Molecule: ribosomal RNA, 596 nt
Filed under: Rhodotorula sp. Y11
Lineage: Eukaryota; Fungi; Basidiomycota; Microbotryomycetes; Sporidiobolales; Sporidiobolaceae
Description: eukaryotic LSU rRNA
Rfam family: 5.8S ribosomal RNA (bases 160-313)
Source: RNAcentral
AUCAUUAGUGAUAUAGGACGUCCAACUUAACUUGGAGUCCGAACUCUCACUUUCUAACCCUGUGCACUUGUUUGGGAUAGUAACUCUCGCAAGAGAGCGAACUCCUAUUCACUUAUAAACACAAAGUCUAUGAAUGUAUUAAAUUUUAUAACAAAAUAAAACUUUCAACAACGGAUCUCUUGGCUCUCGCAUCGAUGAAGAACGCAGCGAAAUGCGAUAAGUAAUGUGAAUUGCAGAAUUCAGUGAAUCAUCGAAUCUUUGAACGCACCUUGCGCUCCAUGGUAUUCCGUGGAGCAUGCCUGUUUGAGUGUCAUGAAUACUUCAACCCUCCUCUUUCUUAAUGAUUGAAGAGGUGUUUGGUUUCUGAGCGCUGCUGGCCUUUACGGUCUAGCUCGUUCGUAAUGCAUUAGCAUCCGCAAUCGAACUUCGGAUUGACUUGGCGUAAUAGACUAUUCGCUGAGGAAUUCUAGUCUUCGGAUUAGAGCCGGGUUGGGUUAAAGGAAGCUUCUAAUCAGAAUGUCUACAUUUUAAGAUUAGAUCUCAAAUCAGGUAGGACUACCCGCUGAACUUAAGCAUAUCAAUAAGCGGAGGAAAAU